Molecule: long non-coding RNA, 237 nt
Filed under: Physcomitrium patens
Lineage: Eukaryota; Viridiplantae; Streptophyta; Bryopsida; Funariales; Funariaceae
Description: long non-coding RNA (PPAT_LNC009273)
Source: RNAcentral
GUAUGUCUAUAUUAUUAUCCUUCCUUCCAAAAAUGAGUUUGAUAAAGAGCACUCAUCAUAUAUUGAAAAAAUCCAUGAUGUAGCAAAUUAUGUUUUCCACAUACUCUGAUUUUUGUUCUCUUUGAAGAUGAUUGAUAGGCCAUCAUAGCCAUUGAUAAUGUUUCAUACCAAAGUGGAAAGACCAGCCUAUUAUUUGAUUGUUAUUAAAGACUUUGUAACUCUUUUCAACUAAAAUAU